This 315-nucleotide long non-coding RNA is filed under the name Zostera marina. RNAcentral describes it as "long non-coding RNA (ZMAR_LNC006066)". The record is from RNAcentral. Lineage: Eukaryota; Viridiplantae; Streptophyta; Magnoliopsida; Alismatales; Zosteraceae.
UUGACGAACAUAGGGUUUACAUAUUUUAAUAUUUUCGGGGUUACUUUGGAAUCCACAAUAUCUUUUUGCCUCCAUGAUGUCGUGGCUAUCCAAGCCCCAUUUAACCAGGAUCUUGCAAAAACAUGAAUAACGAUUUAUGUAUAUGAAGGACAAUAUCCCGCAGCACGAUUCUGGGCUUCCACUAGAGCACCUGACAUUGGCUUUAGACUCUAAAGAACCGCAAUCGUCUGACGAUCCAUGCCUACUCAUCAUCAACAACAUCACCAUCACCAUUGCAAGCUCAAACCUAAUUUUCGCCAUCUUUGAAAUUUUCUU